Molecule: ribosomal RNA, 484 nt
Filed under: uncultured bacterium
Lineage: Bacteria
Description: partial 16S ribosomal RNA
Rfam family: Bacterial small subunit ribosomal RNA
Source: RNAcentral
GAUGAACGCUGGCGGCGUGCCUAACACAUGCAAGUCGAGCGGAUGAACGCUGCUUGUUCCUGGCUUCCGCGGGGGACGGGGGAGUGAUGCCUAGGAAUCUGCCUGGUAGUGGGGGAUGACGUCCGGAGGCGGGCGCUGAUACCACAUACGUCCAGAUCGUGAAACUGGGGGAUCUUCGGACCUCACGCGAUCAGGUGACCCUAGUUCGGAUUAGCUAGUUGGUGGGGUAAGGGCCUACCAAGCCGACGAUCCGUAGCUGGUCUGAGAGGAUGAUCAGUCACACUGGAACUGAGACACGGUCCAGACUCCUACGGGAGGCAGCAGUAGGGAAUAUUCGGCAAUGGGCGAAAGCCUGAUCCAGCAAUGCCGCGUGUGUGAAGAAGGUCUUCGGAUCGUAAAGCACUGUUAGUAGGGAGGAACGGCAGUAAGAUAAAACCUAGCUGUUUUGACGGUACCGACACAAUAAGCACCGGCUAACUACGUG